RNAcentral lists this transfer RNA (74 nucleotides) under Cordylochernes scorpioides. RNAcentral's name for it is "tRNA-Thr". It matches the Rfam family "tRNA". From Rfam's summary of the family: Transfer RNA (tRNA) molecules are approximately 80 nucleotides in length. Their secondary structure includes four short double-helical elements and three loops (D, anti-codon, and T loops). The record is from RNAcentral. Lineage: Eukaryota; Metazoa; Arthropoda; Arachnida; Pseudoscorpiones; Chernetidae.
GGUGUCGUGGCUUAGUUGGUUAAACCGCCUGUCUAGUAAACAGGAGAUCGUAAGUUCCAAUCUCGCCGGUGCCU